Molecule: long non-coding RNA, 1297 nt
Organism: Aethalodelphis obliquidens (Pacific white-sided dolphin)
Lineage: Eukaryota; Metazoa; Chordata; Mammalia; Artiodactyla; Delphinidae
Exons: 3
Source: RefSeq, a predicted model, not a curated record
GACACAGCAAGGAGGCCACCGUUUGCGAGCUGAGAAGAGAACUCUCACCAAAACCAACCCUGCUGGCACCUUGAUCAUGACUCUGGCCUCCGGAACUUUCUCCUGGAGGUUUCACUGAGAUCCACUCUGCACAGCCUGUCACUUAGACGUGUGAUACUCAACGGAGGCCCCUGUGUUUUGGUGCUUGAGGCUUGUUGAAUCCCUGCCCCUGGGAACCUUCAUCUGCCAUCUAAGAAGUCUGCUUACCCUGAGAUCACAAUGCUGAAGAGACCAUGUGAGGCCCACAAGCAGUCCUCAGCCAUGUUAGCCACUGCAGCAACAAUUAGAUACGUGAGUGCAGAAGACGACUCCCUCAAGAUGAAUCCAGCCUCAGCCACCAUCUGACUGCAGCCACAUGAAGGACCCUGAGACACCUAGACAAGCCCACCUGAGUCUAGUGGAACCACACAACUGUGAGAAGAGAUUAUAAUAGAUGACUGCAUUAAGGUUUUAUGUUUUGAGGGUAGAUUUUAAUAAAGCAAUAGGUGAGCCAAACAAGGGCUAAAUCCUCAAUUUUCUAGUUGGAAGUCAAAUAACAGAGUAUAAACUAGCCAAGAAAUAGAAGUGUAAGUAUAGAGUUUAGACACAUGGUUGUAAAUAUGACAAGAAACAACCCAAAGAGAUAAAAGUAUUUGCUUCUAGAGAACAAGAUAUGAAGGGUAGGGAUAGGUGAGACAGGGGCCACUGUUAAUAGUUGAAGGUCUUAUAGUGCUGUUUCACUUUUAAACCUAAAUAAGUUUUUUUAUCUGAGAAAAAUAAAAUAAAAUUAAAAAUCAACCCCAAAAUGGGGCUAUCUGUCCUGCCUAGGAAGCACAUUGUGAGUGUAUGCUGGAGUGUAUGAGAAUGGAAGCACUUUGAAAACUCUAAAAUACUAUCCAUAUGCUUCAUUUUACCUACUAUUAUUUUCCAAUUUCCCACUCUGCCUUCAAACUUAUUAUUCAACAAAAGUUUCAAAAGAAUUAGUUUAUGAUGAAAAUGUGGUUUGUAGUACCAGUUUUGUACUAAAUGUACAAGCCCUUAAUCAAUUUGGGCCUUGGUUUCCUUACUUAUUAAUAAAGGAAUGAGUAGAAGUAAAUAUGACAUUGAAGAUGUCACUUCCAAAUGUUACAGUAUUUAACACCUCUUGAACUUUACCUUAAACCUCUUCAUUACUAGGUUCUAUGAUGGUAGAUUUUAAAUAAUCUAGGACAGGAAUUCUCACUUUUUGGUCUCAGGAGCCAUUUAUACUUUUUCAAUCAUUGAGGACCCCAAAAAGUUU